GAUGAACGCUGGCGGCGUGCCUAAUACAUGCAAGUCGAGCGGACCGAUGAGAUACUUGUUCCUCUGCGGUCGGGGGCGUACGGCGUGGUAAACCUAGGCUAACCUACCUGAAAACCUGGGGAAACCCCGGCAAACCGGCCCUAUUACCGUGUACUAUUUGGCACCGCUUGGGGCAAGAUAGAACGCUGCCUUUUGUGUCCCCUUACGAUCGGCCCGCUCGUGGUUAGCCAGUUGGUAAGGUAACGGCUUACCAAGGGGACGAUGAGUAGGCGGGCUGGGAGGGUGAUCGGCCGCACUGGAGCUGAGACACGGACCAGACUCCGACGGGAGGCAGCAGUAGGGGAUCUUGCGAGAUGGGCGAAGGCCUGACGGAGCAACGCCGCGUGCGUGGUGACGGUCUUCGGGUCGUAAAACGCUGUUAUAAGGGAAGAACAAGUGACGAAGUAACUGUGCAGGUCGUGACGGUACCUCAGCAGAAAGCCACGGCUAACUACGUG
This 497-nucleotide ribosomal RNA is filed under the name uncultured bacterium. RNAcentral describes it as "partial 16S ribosomal RNA". It matches the Rfam family "Bacterial small subunit ribosomal RNA", at positions 28 to 507 of the family's 1533-position model. The record is from RNAcentral.